GGCCUCAAAUCAGACAAGGGUACCCGCUGAACUUAAGCAUAUCAAUAAGCGGAGGAAAAGAAACUAACAAGGAUUCCCCUAGUAACGGCGAGUGAAGCGGGAACAGCUCAAAUUUUAAAUCUGGCUGCUUUGUAGUCCGAGUUGUAAUUUGAAGGAGUCUUGCCGCUGGCAAAAUGAUGGCACAAGUCCUCUGGAACGGGGCAUCGUAGAGGGUGAGAAUCCCGUCUCUGGUCAUCACGCGCUGGCAUACGGCAGGCAUCCGAAGAGUCGAGUUGUUUGGGAUUGCAGCUCCAAAUGGGUGGUAAACUCCAUCUAAGGCUAAAUAUUGGCGAGAGACCGAUAGCGAACAAGUACCGUGAGGGAAAGAUGAAAAGAACUUUGAAAAGAGAGUAAAACAGUACGUGAAAUUGUUGAAAGGGAAACGAUUGAAG
This 431-nucleotide ribosomal RNA is filed under the name Paraglomus laccatum. RNAcentral's name for it is "eukaryotic LSU rRNA". It matches the Rfam family "Eukaryotic large subunit ribosomal RNA", at positions 1 to 428 of the family's 3401-position model. The record is from RNAcentral. Lineage: Eukaryota; Fungi; Glomeromycota; Glomeromycetes; Paraglomerales; Paraglomeraceae.